This 1416-nucleotide ribosomal RNA is filed under the name bacterium NLAE-zl-P276. RNAcentral describes it as "16S ribosomal RNA". It matches the Rfam family "Bacterial small subunit ribosomal RNA". The record is from RNAcentral.
CAUGCNAGUCGAACGGUAACAGGAAGAAGCUUGCUUCUUUGCUGACGAGUGGCGGACGGGUGAGUAAUGUCUGGGAAACUGCCUGAUGGAGGGGGAUAACUACUGGAAACGGUAGCUAAUACCGCAUAACGUCGCAAGACCAAAGAGGGGGACCUUCGGGCCUCUUGCCAUCGGAUGUGCCCAGAUGGGAUUAGCUNGUAGGUGGGGUAACGGCUCACCUAGGCGACGAUCCCUAGCUGGUCUGAGAGGAUGACCAGCCACACUGGAACUGAGACACGGUCCAGACUCCUACGGGAGGCAGCAGUGGGGAAUAUUGCACAAUGGGCGCAAGCCUGAUGCAGCCAUGCCGCGUGUAUGAAGAAGGCCUUCGGGUUGUAAAGUACUUUCAGCGGGGAGGAAGGGAGUAAAGUUAAUACCUUUGCUCAUUGACGUUACCCGCAGAAGAAGCACCGGCUAACUCCGUGCCAGCAGCCGCGGUAAUACGGAGGGUGCAAGCGUUAAUCGGAAUUACUGGGCGUAAAGCGCACGCAGGCGGUUUGUUAAGUCAGAUGUGAAAUCCCCGGGCUCAACCUGGGAACUGCAUCUGAUACUGGCAAGCUUGAGUCUCGUAGAGGGGGGUAGAAUUCCAGGUGUAGCGGUGAAAUGCGUAGAGAUCUNGGAGGAAUACCGGUGGCGAAGGCGGCCCCCUGGACGAAGACUGACGCUCAGGUGCGAAAGCNUGGGGAGCAAACAGGAUUAGAUACCCUGGUAGUNCACGCCGUAAACGAUGUNGACUUGGAGGUUGUGCCCUUGAGGCGUGGCUUCCGGAGCUAACGCGUUAAGUCGACCGCCUGGGGAGUACGGCCGCAAGGUUAAAACUCAAAUGAAUUGACGGGGGCCCGCACAAGCGGUGGAGCAUGUGGUUUAAUUCGAUGCAACGCGAAGAACCUUACCUGGUCUUGACAUCCACGGAAGUUUUCAGAGAUGAGAAUGUGCCUUCGGGAACCGUGAGACAGGUGCUGCAUGGCUGUCGUCAGCUCGUGUUGUGAAAUGUUGGGUUAAGUCCCGCAACGAGCGCAACCCUUAUCCUUUGUUGCCAGCGGUCCGGCCGGGAACUCAAAGGAGACUGCCAGUGAUAAACUGGAGGAAGGUGGGGAUGACGUCAAGUCAUCAUGGCCCUUACGACCAGGGCUACACACGUGCUACAAUGGCGCAUACAAAGAGAAGCGACCUCGCGAGAGCAAGCGGACCUCAUAAAGUGCGUCGUAGUCCGGAUUGGAGUCUGCAACUCGACUCCAUGAAGUCGGAAUCGCUAGUAAUCGUGGAUCAGAAUGCCACGGUGAAUACGUUCCCGGGCCUUGUACACACCGCCAGUCACAGCCAUGGGAGUGGGUUGCAAAAGAAGUAGGUAGCUUAACCCUUCGGGAGGGCGCUACC